UAAGGACAUAGCUCAAUUGGUAGAGCGGUAGGUUUUCACCCUAUUGGUUGCAGGUUCAAGUCCUGUUGUUCUUAU
Molecule: transfer RNA, 75 nt
Filed under: Streptococcus pneumoniae
Lineage: Bacteria; Bacillati; Bacillota; Bacilli; Lactobacillales; Streptococcaceae
Description: tRNA-Glu
Rfam family: tRNA
About the family: Transfer RNA (tRNA) molecules are approximately 80 nucleotides in length. Their secondary structure includes four short double-helical elements and three loops (D, anti-codon, and T loops).
Source: RNAcentral